GGGCCGCUAGCUCAGUUUGGGAGAGCGCAUCGUUCGCAACGAUGAGGUCGUGGGUUCGAGCCCCAUGCGGUCCACCA
Molecule: transfer RNA, 77 nt
Filed under: Terriglobia bacterium
Lineage: Bacteria; Pseudomonadati; Acidobacteriota; Terriglobia
Also listed under: 1 other name
Description: tRNA-Ala
Rfam family: tRNA
About the family: Transfer RNA (tRNA) molecules are approximately 80 nucleotides in length. Their secondary structure includes four short double-helical elements and three loops (D, anti-codon, and T loops).
Source: RNAcentral